GGUGGCUCAAUGGUAGAGCGCUUGCCUUGCAUGCAUGAGACCCUGGGUUCGAUUCCUCAGUACCA
This 65-nucleotide transfer RNA is filed under the name Dipodomys ordii (Ord's kangaroo rat). It matches the Rfam family "tRNA". From Rfam's summary of the family: Transfer RNA (tRNA) molecules are approximately 80 nucleotides in length. Their secondary structure includes four short double-helical elements and three loops (D, anti-codon, and T loops). Lineage: Eukaryota; Metazoa; Chordata; Mammalia; Rodentia; Heteromyidae. The record is from Rfam by way of RNAcentral.